AGUGGCGGACGGGUGAGUAACGCGUGGAUAACCUACCUCAUACAGGGGGAUAACAGUUGGAAACGACUGUUAAUACCGCAUAAGCGCACGGGACUGCAUGGUUCUGUGUGAAAAACUCCGGUGGUAUGAGAUGGGUCCGCGUCUGAUUAGCUAGUUGGCAGGGUAACGGCCUACCAAGGCGACGAUCAGUAGCCGGCCUGAGAGGGUGUACGGCCACAUUGGGACUGAGACACGGCCCAAACUCCUACGGGAGGCAGCAG
This 260-nucleotide ribosomal RNA is filed under the name uncultured bacterium. Its description in RNAcentral is "partial 16S ribosomal RNA". It matches the Rfam family "Bacterial small subunit ribosomal RNA", at positions 94 to 354 of the family's 1533-position model. The record is from RNAcentral.